This 468-nucleotide ribosomal RNA is filed under the name uncultured bacterium. RNAcentral's name for it is "partial 16S ribosomal RNA". It matches the Rfam family "Bacterial small subunit ribosomal RNA", at positions 28 to 507 of the family's 1533-position model. The record is from RNAcentral.
GACGAACGCUGGCGGCGUGCUUAACACAUGCAAGUCGAACGGUGAAGCUCCAGCUUGCUGGAGUGGAUCAGUGGCGAACGGGUGAGUAACACGUGAGCAACCUGCCCCUGACUCUGGAAUAAGCGCUGGAAACGGCGUCUAAUACUGGAUACGAGAAGGGUCCGCAUGGGCACUUUCUGGAAAGUUUUUCGGUUGGGGAUGGGCUCGCGGCCCAUCAGCUUGUUGGUGAGGUAAUGGCUCACCAAGGCGACGACGGGUAGCCGGCCUGAGAGGGCGACCGGCCACACUGGGACUGAGACACGGCCCAGACUCCUACGGGAGGCAGCAGUGGGGAAUAUUGCACAAUGGGCGAAAGCCUGAUGCAGCGACGCCGCGUGAGGGAUGACGGCCUUCGGGUUGUAAACCUCUUUCAGCAGGGAAGAAGCGAAAGUGACGGUACCUGCAGAAGAAGCACCGGCUAACUACGUG